RNAcentral lists this ribosomal RNA (466 nucleotides) under uncultured bacterium. RNAcentral describes it as "partial 16S ribosomal RNA". It matches the Rfam family "Bacterial small subunit ribosomal RNA", at positions 28 to 507 of the family's 1533-position model. The record is from RNAcentral.
GAUGAACGCUGGCGGCGUGCUUAACACAUGCAAGUCGAACGAUGAAGCCCAGCUUGCUGGGUGGAUUAGUGGCGAACGGGUGAGUAACACGUGAGUAACCUGCCCUUAACUCUGGGAUAAGCCUGGGAAACUGGGUCUAAUACCGGAUAGGAGCGUCCACCGCAUGGUGGGUGUUGGAAAGAUUUAUCGGUUUUGGAUGGACUCGCGGCCUAUCAGCUUGUUGGUGAGGUAAUGGCUCACCAAGGCGACGACGGGUAGCCGGCCUGAGAGGGUGACCGGCCACACUGGGACUGAGGCACGGCCCAGACUCCUACGGGAGGCAGCAGUGGGGAAUAUUGCACAAUGGGCGAAAGCCUGAUGCAGCGACGCCGCGUGAGGGAUGACGGCCUUCGGGUUGUAAACCUCUUUCAGUAGGGAAGAAGCGAAAGUGACGGUACCUGCAGAAGAAGCACCGGCUAACUACGUG